AUGCAAGUCGACUGGAAUUCUUCUUCGGAAGAUAGUACGGUGGCGGACGGGUGAGUAACGCGUAAAGAAUUUGCCCUUCAGACUGGGACAACUAAUCGAAAGGUUAGCUAAUACCGGAUAUUAUGAGACCUUGGCAUCAAGGACUUAUGAAAGCUAUAUGCGCUGGAGGAGAACUUUGCGUUCCAUUAGCUAGUUGGUAGGGUAAUGGCCUACCAAGGCGACGAUGGAUAGCCGGCCUGAGAGGGUGAACGGCCACAAGGGGACUGAGACACGGCCCUUACUCCUACGGGAGGCAGCAGUGGGGAAUAUUGGACAAUGGACCAAAAGUCUGAUCCAGCAAUUCUGUGUGCACGAUGAAGGUCUUCGGAUUGUAAAGUGCUUUCAGGUGGGAAGAAGAAAGUGACGGUACCACCAGAAGAAGCGACGGCUAAAUACGUGCCAGCAGCCGCGGUAAUACGUAUGUCGCAAGCGUUAUCCGGAAUUAUUGGGCGUAAAGCGAGUCUAGGCGGCUUGUUAAGUCAGA
RNAcentral lists this ribosomal RNA (523 nucleotides) under uncultured Psychrilyobacter sp. Its description in RNAcentral is "bacterial SSU rRNA". It matches the Rfam family "Bacterial small subunit ribosomal RNA", at positions 55 to 592 of the family's 1533-position model. Lineage: Bacteria; Fusobacteriati; Fusobacteriota; Fusobacteriia; Fusobacteriales; Fusobacteriaceae. The record is from RNAcentral.